GCGAUGGUAGUAUAAUUGUUAGUGAGUAUAUUUGAUUUCCAAUCAGAGGGUCCAAUAUUGGUUGUCGUA
This 69-nucleotide transfer RNA is filed under the name Halocynthia spinosa. RNAcentral describes it as "transfer RNA-Gly(GGN)". The record is from RNAcentral. Lineage: Eukaryota; Metazoa; Chordata; Ascidiacea; Stolidobranchia; Pyuridae.